Long non-coding RNA from Cydia strobilella, 318 nucleotides. RefSeq lists it as uncharacterized. The record is from RefSeq and is a predicted model, not a curated record. The transcript is spliced from 2 exons. NCBI's taxonomy places the organism in Eukaryota, Metazoa, Arthropoda, Insecta, Lepidoptera, Tortricidae.
CGGUUUACGAUUUAUGACGUAUUUAAAAAAAACUACUUACUAGAUCUCGUUCAAACCAAUUUUCAGUGGAAGUUUGCAUGGUAAUGUACAUCAUAUAUUUUUUUCAGUUUUAUCAUUCUCUUAUUUUAGAAGUUACAGGGGGGGGGGACACACAUUUUACCACUUUGAAAGUGUCUCUCGCGUAAACUAUUCAUAUGGGGAACCCCCAAAAUUAAUUGUUUUUUUUUUUCUAUUUUUGUGUGAAAAUCUUAAUGCGGUUCAUAGAAUACAUCUACUUACCAAGUUUCAACAGUAUAGUUCUUAUAGUUUCAGAGAAAA